UUUGUCUGCUUAGGGUUAAUUUUCCCCAAAUCAAGGGUCUGUUCAGACCAUGUGUUCGUUCUUAGAUGGGGAACUAAAAGGAGUUCCUUAUUGCCAAACGGAAGCAUAUGAAGUUCUGUGCUAGAUUUAGAAGUAAAUAUUGAUGUUGAUUUUUAAAGUUUUACUCAUGUUAGAUGUCUACUGAUAUCUGCAUGCAAUCCUCUUUUGGCUAUCAUACUGUGAUGCUUUGGGAGAUUUCCCAGUAUUUCUAUGCAAAUUCCGGGCCAGGUUCGGCCUUCCUAGCAAAUUGCAUAAUUUAUGAAGAAAAAAGGUAACUCCUGGUAUUUGUUGGUUGCAAUUCCUCUGACAGUUACAACACAUGGCAAUGAUACCUCUGCACAUUGUCGAAUAAAAAAUAUAGAGAUGAUAUUCAUUGACGCCAGGCUUCAAAAUUCAGCUCUUUUAUUUCUGCCAUGGUGUACCUUUCUGCUUGGUUCAGUUUUGCCUGAUCUACUUCCAGAUGUAUACUACACUUAGUUUGUUCAUGCAUUAGAAGCAGGCUUUCAGCAAUGGAAUAGCGGGUGGAUGAGAAGCUCCACAACCUGCACAUUGUGAUGGAGAAUCA
Long non-coding RNA from Lolium rigidum, 604 nucleotides. RefSeq lists it as uncharacterized. Lineage: Eukaryota; Viridiplantae; Streptophyta; Magnoliopsida; Poales; Poaceae. The transcript is spliced from 4 exons. The record is from RefSeq and is a predicted model, not a curated record.